UAGGGAAUCUUCGGCAAUGGGGGGAACCCUGACCGAGCAACGCCGCGUGAGUGAAGAAGGUUUUCGGAUCGUAAAGCUCUGUUGUAAGAGAAGAACGUUAGUGAGAGUGGAAAGCUCACUAAGUGACGGUAUCUUACCAGAAAGGGACGGCUAACUACGUGCCAGCAGCCGCGGUAAUACGUAGGUCCCGAGCGUUGUCCGGAUUUAUUGGGCGUAAAGCGAGCGCAGGCGGUUUCGUAAGUCUGAAGUUAAAGGCUGUGGCUUAACCAUAGUUUGCUUUGGAAACUGCGAGACUUGAGUGCAGAAGGGGAGAGUGGAAUUCCAUGUGUAGCGGUGAAAUGCGUAGAUAUAUGGAGGAACACCAGUGGCGAAAGCGGCUCUCUGGUCUGUAACUGACGCUGAGGCUCGAAAGCGUGGGGAGCAAACA
This 427-nucleotide ribosomal RNA is filed under the name uncultured prokaryote. RNAcentral describes it as "bacterial SSU rRNA". It matches the Rfam family "Bacterial small subunit ribosomal RNA", at positions 355 to 774 of the family's 1533-position model. The record is from RNAcentral.